AAUCCGUCGACUUUUGAAAUCGUGAGGG
This 28-nucleotide transfer RNA is filed under the name Impatiens munronii. Its description in RNAcentral is "partial tRNA-Leu". RNAcentral also lists the same sequence under 1 other name. Lineage: Eukaryota; Viridiplantae; Streptophyta; Magnoliopsida; Ericales; Balsaminaceae. The record is from RNAcentral.